UGGAGAUAUAACUUAAUGGUAGAAUGCUUGCCUAGCAUGCGGGAGGACCUGGGUUCAAUUCCCCAGCACAAUUUUUAA
RNAcentral lists this transfer RNA (78 nucleotides) under Marmota monax (woodchuck). RNAcentral describes it as "tRNA.Ala". Lineage: Eukaryota; Metazoa; Chordata; Mammalia; Rodentia; Sciuridae. The record is from RNAcentral.